Long non-coding RNA from Cervus elaphus (red deer), 1760 nucleotides. RefSeq lists it as uncharacterized. The record is from RefSeq and is a predicted model, not a curated record. Lineage: Eukaryota; Metazoa; Chordata; Mammalia; Artiodactyla; Cervidae. The transcript is spliced from 3 exons.
GGACGACAGAGGAUGAGAGGGUUGGAUGGCAUCACCGACUCGAUGGACGAGAUUAGUGUUGCUUAUCUGCCGGGCUUAUCUCUAUUGUUGCAGCAGUUUCGGAAACCCCCUCCCAGCCCCCAGGAGCUUCUGUUCCUGGAAAAAUUUUUUAAAUAAAAGUUUGUGCGUCUUGUCCAAGGAUUAGGACAUGAGUCUGAGCGAGCUCCGGGAGCUGGUGAUGGACAGGGAGGCCUGGCGUGCUGCAGUCCUCGGGGUCGCGGAGAGUCUGGCACGGCUGAGCGACGGGGACUGUGUCUCUCUCUCUCAAGGAUGCGGAGAAGAGAUAAGUGCUCAUUGUUCUUGCACUUUCGUGCUCAGCUCCGCUGUGCGCUUGCAGGUUUAGGGUUAGGGGACUUCUGACGACGCCCAGGCUCACUCCAGAGACACCCCCCUCCCACUCGCCCCAGCUUCCCACCUCUCACCCCAGAGACCCUCUAUUCACCCCGGACUGUCUACACUCACCCCCAGAGACCCCCACUCUCUUCAGAUAUCUAUCUCUGAUCCCAGAGACCCUCGGGCUCACCCCCACACUUCCACCAAUCACCUCAGACAUCCCCGUUCACCCCAGAUUUCCAUCUCACCCUAGAGAUCCUCACUCACCCCAGCUUUCCACCACUCCCCCUAAAGAGCCCCCAUUCACCCCACAUUGGUAUCCAUCACCCUGGGAGUAACCCCACUCACUCCAGAUUCCUUUUGGUGGUUUAGUUGCUAGGUCGUGUCCGACUCCGUGUGACCCCAUGGGCUGUAGCCCGCCAGGCUCCUCUGUCCCCGGGAUUCUCCAGGCGAGAAUCCUGGAGUGGGUAGACAUGCCCUCCUCCAGUCCUUCACCCAGACACCCUGCACCGACUCCAAAUGUCCAUCAUUCAUUGCAGAGACCCAGCCCCUCCCCGUUCGCCCUAACUUUCCAUCCAUCACCCCAGAGACUCCCCUCCGCCACCCCAAAUUUCCAUCCCUCAUCCCUCAGGACCCUUACAAUCAUUCCAGAUUUUUCCCCACUCUGCCCAAAGACUUCCGCAAGACCAUCCCCGAUUUCCUCCAACCACCCCAGAGACCCCAGAAUCACCCCCCCCGAUUUUUGCACCCCUCAGACACAGUCCCCGAGACUCACUGAGGAGUCCCAGGACAGGGUCCCUCCCGGGGAGGGGGUCUGUGUCAGCAACUCAGCGUCUGCUGGAGCAACCUGCCUGUCUCAGGGCUUCCUUAAACACCCCCGGGGUUUGCAGAGGAGCCUGGCGGGCUGCCGUCCAGGGGACACAAGGAGUCGGAUAGGACUGAGCGAGUAACCACACACACACACAGGUCAGAGAGGGCCUGCAUGAUGGAAUCUCUUGAUCCGUAGGUGAAUUCGGCCGCCUUUCCAAGGGCUUUGUUGCUAUUUCAUAGCUAAGUCGUGUCUGACUCUUGUGCGACCCCAUGGACUGUAGACCACCAGGCUCUUCUGUCCAUGGGAUUCUCCAGGCAAGAACACUGGAGUGGGAAUACCCACUGGAGUGGGUUGCCAUGCCCUCCUCCAGGGCAUCUUCCCGACCCAGGAAUCGAGCCCGACUUUCUUGCAUUGCAGGCAGAUUCUUCACCGUCUGAGUCACCUGUUUCAGGUACUUCACUCUGGUGAAUAACCAAGGCAUUUAGCGCUUCAUUUCUGCUUAACCAUCCUCUGCAGGGAGCUUGAGAGGGGCUGUCAGCUCACUAGCCCUGCAGAGUCCCAGGACCAAGCCAGACGG